RNAcentral lists this ribosomal RNA (253 nucleotides) under uncultured bacterium. Its description in RNAcentral is "partial 16S ribosomal RNA". It matches the Rfam family "Bacterial small subunit ribosomal RNA", at positions 524 to 776 of the family's 1533-position model. The record is from RNAcentral.
UACGUAGGGUGCAAGCGUUGUCCGGUAUUAUUGGGCGUAAAGAGCUCGUAGGCGGUCUGUCGCGUCGGCUGUGAAAACCCGGAGCUCAACUCCGGGCCUGCAGUCGAUACGGGCAGACUGGAGUUCGGCAGGGGAGACUGGAAUUCCUGGUGUAGCGGUGAAAUGCGCAGAUAUCAGGAGGAACACCGGUGGCGAAGGCGGGUCUCUGGGCCGAUACUGACGCUGAGGAGCGAAAGCGUGGGGAGCGAACAGG